This 328-nucleotide ribosomal RNA is filed under the name Systella sp. RNAcentral's name for it is "partial 12S ribosomal RNA". The record is from RNAcentral. Lineage: Eukaryota; Metazoa; Arthropoda; Insecta; Orthoptera; Trigonopterygidae.
AUUAAUAGUUAUUUUCUUUAAACUUAAAGAAUUUGACGGUACCUUAUAACUGUUCAGAGGAACCUGUCCUUUAAUUGAUAUUUCACGAUUAAUUUUACUUUAUUUAAUUACUUGUAUAUCUCCGUAAUUAGAAUAUCUUUUAAGAGGUUUAAUUUUCAUUUAUUUUUAUUAAAAUUUAUUUCAGGUCAAGGUGCAGUUUAUAUUAAAGUUGAGAUGGGUUACAAUAAAUUAUUGUUUAUUACGGGGUUUUAAUGAGUAUUAUUUUUAAAGGUGGAUUUGAUUGUAAUUUAAUUAAUUUAAAUUAAUUGAUUUUAGCUCUGGGGUGUGU